AAGAGACAGCAGUCGCCACGGUAAUACGUAGGGUGCAAGCGUUAAUCGGAAUUACUGGGCGUAAAGCGUGCGCAGGCGGUUUUGUAAGACAGAGGUGAAAUCCCCGGGCUCAACCUGGGAACUGCCUUUGUGACUGCAAGGCUAGAGUACGGCUGAGGGGGAUGGAAUUCCGCGUGUAGCAGUGAAAUGCGUAGAUAUGCGGAGGAACACCGAUGGCGAAGGCAAUCCCCUGGGCCUGUACUGACGCUCAUGCACGAAAGCGUGGGGAGCAAACAGGAUUAGAUACCCGAGUAGUCCCUGUCUCUUAUAC
This 310-nucleotide ribosomal RNA is filed under the name uncultured bacterium. RNAcentral describes it as "partial 16S ribosomal RNA". It matches the Rfam family "Bacterial small subunit ribosomal RNA", at positions 503 to 807 of the family's 1533-position model. The record is from RNAcentral.